GUUUUAAUAAUUUAAAAAAAAUCUUAAUCUUGUAAAUUAAAUUUAAGCUUGGCUUUUAAAACA
RNAcentral lists this transfer RNA (63 nucleotides) under Taharana fasciana. RNAcentral's name for it is "tRNA-Thr". Lineage: Eukaryota; Metazoa; Arthropoda; Insecta; Hemiptera; Cicadellidae. The record is from RNAcentral.